Molecule: long non-coding RNA, 2003 nt
Filed under: Capra hircus (goat)
Lineage: Eukaryota; Metazoa; Chordata; Mammalia; Artiodactyla; Bovidae
Description: lncRNA (ENSCHIG00010011226.1)
Source: RNAcentral
AUUAAAAAAAAAAUAAAGUCUUCUACUAAGGUCACUUCCUAAACCAAAGUCUUCCGAUUUGGUAAACCUCGUGGCAAACGAGAAUCCUAAAAUCAGGGGCUGGGGUGGAAGGAAUCUGGGAAAGGAAAGGGUGUUCUCAAUAUGUCACAUCUCAGGCGCUGUACUGGAAGAAAUGCAGGCAAACCUGUCGUGGCAUCAACACACUGCAAGUGACAAAACCGUUCUCUCUGACAAGCUCUUGGGAAGCAACACAACACAGCACAUCCUUUUAAGGCAGACUCAGGGGUGGGGAGGGAAGGGGGAAGCCGUGAAGACCAAGUAAGACAAGGCAUAAAACAGAUGGAUGCAUCUGGGUUAUCAGCUGUCAUUGUGAAAACACGCAGACACACACAGUGAAACAGGGAAGCCAAGCCACAGGACUGAAGACUUCUAAGCUUGUACUUUCAGAAUAUGUGUGGAUGUUGCUACUGGUGAUCGAGGAAAUGAGUGUGUUUGCUAAUUAAAUAAAGUAUGCGUUCUUUUGGAAAUCAGUAAUUAAUUGAUUACUAAAGAUAGCCAAUCGCUGGAAGUCAUGCUUACUACCUGAAGGGAAUAACAGUGUCAAAUAAGAGCAUGUUGCCCAUUCUCAGCUUAGCUUUCUGGAAGCUCAUAAAUUAGGUAGCCAUCUGAGCCCUCCUGCAUCCCACUUCAACACUCUAAAUAUUACAUUUUUUAUGAUAGCUGAGAGUUUUCACUCUUAUGUCUGUUGACAGAGCUGCUGAUAAUGCACUGUUACAGCAAUCUGGAGUCCUCCCGGAAGUGAAGAGUCAUUGCUUUCCCAGGUCCUUCAUUGAAUCUUUAGAUCACUCAGAAGCUGUGCCUGCACUUCCCUGCCGCUGUGUCAUGCAAUGCCACCUUGGACAGAUCCAUUCUUUCUAAAGGGAGGUUCCUGCUCAGUGGUUUCCCCUCGGCAGUGUAAGUAAAAGGUGAGAAUAAUUAAAGUUGUUCUAUCAUGACAAAGGUGGUCGGACAAGACCCCCCAGCACUGCUCUCUGAUGGGUAAGUGAAUCAGUCUGCACAAGGACCCCGGGAUCUUUCGUGAAUAAAAUGUUUCACGCCCUGUGACUGCAAAUUGGUAACACUGUCUAAACCAAGAUGUUUCUGUUUAAAACAUGUGCACAAAUACAUAUACAUGAUUUUUGCUUCCAGCUGUAGAAAAACUUUCUGCCCCUAACUUCCACAUUUUCUUCAACUAUCACGUGCCCCUCUGUUUUGCCCUUCUUAACUUAAACAUCUCUCUUUUCUUCAGUCACUCCUCCUAAGAUUUAAUGCUUAUACGUUUCUGAAAUGCUCCUGCUGGUCUAGACCUCAUUUUUAAGUUCUCUUGCAUAAAAUCUACUUCAGAAGCUCGGCUCUGGUGUAAGGACUACUCUCUCACACUCUGGAAUAGCAAAGAAUGGUACUUUCUCUCACUCCCAAGACCAUGCUGUAUCCAUGUCACAAGAACGCACUGCUAUCUUAACAGAUGCAUGACACAACUGUCUUUUCAGUUUAUUGUCAAGUCCACAAAAUCUCUUUGAUGCACCGCUGCACUUCUUCAGCCUUCAUUUUACAGCUGGUAUUACAGGCCCAAGGUCAGAAGUUUAUGCUGGAGCUUAUCCUGUCUUAGUCUGUUUAUACCUUUGGUUUGUUGCUAUCUUGGUGUUUCCAUUGUGCCCUCCAGAAUAUUCCCAAUCUCUUAGUUUUUGAAUCUACACAUAAGUCAAGAGCACCAUCUCAAUUCAAGUGUGAUAUAGCUGGCUACAGUCAGANNNNNNNNNNNNNNNNNNNNNNNNNNNNNNNNNNNNNNNNNNNNNNNNNNNNNNNNNNNNNNNNNNNNNNNNNNNNNNNNNNNNNNNNNUAAGGGGGGUGCUACUCAAAGAAAGAUGAUAAAUGCCAAUGAGAGCAGGUCUGUAAGAGAUUUUAUAAAAACAUCUGAAACUUUCAAUACCUAUUUGCUCAGUAAACAAACUGUGGGCCUUAAU